RNAcentral lists this ribosomal RNA (253 nucleotides) under uncultured bacterium. RNAcentral's name for it is "partial 16S ribosomal RNA". It matches the Rfam family "Bacterial small subunit ribosomal RNA", at positions 524 to 776 of the family's 1533-position model. The record is from RNAcentral.
UACAGAGGGGGCAAGCGUUAUUCGGAAUUAUUGGGCGUAAAGGGCGCGUAGGCGGUUCUUCAAGUCUCUCGUGAAAUCCCUCGGCUUAACUGAGGACGUGCGGGAGAUACUGAAGGGCUUGAGUCCGGAAGAGGGUGGUGGAAUUCCCAGUGUAGCGGUGAAAUGCGUAGAGAUCGGAAGGAACACCAGUGGCGAAGGCGGCUACCUGGACAAAUACUGACGCUGAGGCGCGAGAGCGUGGGGAGCAAACAGG